Molecule: ribosomal RNA, 255 nt
Filed under: uncultured bacterium
Lineage: Bacteria
Description: partial 16S ribosomal RNA
Rfam family: Bacterial small subunit ribosomal RNA
Source: RNAcentral
CGGACGGGUGAGUAACGCGUGGGGAACCUGCCCUGUACAGGGGGAUAACACUUAGAAAUAGGUGCUAAUACCGCAUAAGCGCACAGCUUCGCAUGAAGUGGUGUGAAAAACUCCGGUGGUAUACGAUGGUUCCGCGUCUGAUUAGCUUGUUGGUGGGGUAAUGGCUCACCAAGGCGACGAUCAGUAGCCGGCCUGAGAGGGUGAACGGCCACAUUGGGACUGAGACACGGCCCAAACUCCUACGGAAGGCAGCAG